CGCCAGACUCCUACGGGAGGCAGCAGUGGGGAAUAUUGCACAAUGGGGGAAACCCUGAUGCAGCGACGCCGCGUGAGUGAGGAAGUAUUUCGGUAUGUAAAGCUCUAUCAGCAGGGAAGAAAAUGACGGUACCUGACUAAGAAGCCCCGGCUAACUACGUGCCAGCAGCCGCGGUAAUACAUAGGGGGCAAGCGUUAUCCGGAAUUAUUGGGUGUAAAGGGUGCGUAGACGGAGAAACAAGUUGGUUGUGAAAUCCCUCGGCUCAACCGAGGAACUGCAACCAAAACUAUUUCCCUUGAGUGUCGGAGAGGAAAGUGGAAUUCCUAGUGUAGCGGUGAAAUGCGUAGAUAUUAGGAGGAACACCAGUGGCGAAGGCGACUUACUGGACUGUAACUGACGUUGAGGCUCGAAAGCGUGGGGAGCAAACAGGAUUAGAUACCCCAGUA
RNAcentral lists this ribosomal RNA (446 nucleotides) under uncultured bacterium. Its description in RNAcentral is "bacterial SSU rRNA". It matches the Rfam family "Bacterial small subunit ribosomal RNA", at positions 329 to 792 of the family's 1533-position model. The record is from RNAcentral.